AUUUGAAGACUUACUUUUGAAGCUACAGUACUCAAGACAGUGUGGGACAGGAGUCCCCCCUUAUCUUUUUGGAUUACAUAAAGGGACAAGAAGAAGACGCGCAUCAUCCCUCAUCACCUCCAGCUGGCAAUUUGCAACAACAGGGAACUAAACAAGCUGCUGGGCAAAGUCACCAUCGCCCAGGGCGGCAUUUUGCCUAACAUCCAGGCCAUUCUGUUACCAAAGAAAACCGAAAGCCACAAAGCCAAAAGCAAAUAA
Molecule: long non-coding RNA, 258 nt
Filed under: Homo sapiens (human)
Lineage: Eukaryota; Metazoa; Chordata; Mammalia; Primates; Hominidae
Description: non-protein coding lnc-FAM98A-6:1
Source: RNAcentral